RNAcentral lists this ribosomal RNA (216 nucleotides) under Glomeromycotina sp. RNAcentral describes it as "partial small subunit ribosomal RNA". The stretch from base 40 to 216 matches the Rfam family "Eukaryotic small subunit ribosomal RNA", at positions 686 to 864 of the family's 1831-position model. The record is from RNAcentral. Lineage: Eukaryota; Fungi; Glomeromycota.
GGGUCAGUAGGUUGGUCGUGCCACCGGUACGUACUGGUCUCACUGAUUCCUCCUUCCUGAAGAACCGUAAUGCCAUUAAUUUGGUGUUGCGGGGACACAGGACUGUUACUUUGAAAAAAUUAGAGUGUUUAAAGCAAGCUAACGCUUGAAUACAUUAGCAUGGAAUAAUGAAAUAGGACGAUCGAUCCUAUUUUGUUGGUUUCUCGGAUUGACGUA